RNAcentral lists this ribosomal RNA (759 nucleotides) under uncultured bacterium. RNAcentral's name for it is "bacterial SSU rRNA". It matches the Rfam family "Bacterial small subunit ribosomal RNA", at positions 122 to 882 of the family's 1533-position model. The record is from RNAcentral.
CAACCUGCCCACCACUUGGGGAUAACCUUGCGAAAGUAAGACUAAUACCCAAUGAUAUCCGUCGAAGACAUCUGAAAGUGAUUAAAGAUUCAUCGGUGAUGGAUGGGGAUGCGUCUGAUUAGCUUGUUGGCGGGGUAACGGCCCACCAAGGCGACGAUCAGUAGGGGUUCUGAGAGGAAGGUCCCCCACAUUGGAACUGAGACACGGUCCAAACUCCUACGGGAGGCAGCAGUGAGGAAUAUUGGUCAAUGGGCGAGAGCCUGAACCAGCCAAGUAGCGUGCAGGAUGACGGCCCUAUGGGUUGUAAACUGCUUUUAUAAGGGAAUAAAGUGAGCCUCGUGAGGCUUUUUGCAUGUACCUUAUGAAUAAGGACCGGCUAAUUCCGUGCCAGCAGCCGCGGUAAUACGGAAGGUCCGGGCGUUAUCCGGAUUUAUUGGGUUUAAAGGGAGCGUAGGCCGGAGAUUAAGCGUGUUGUGAAAUGUAGAUGCUCAACAUCUGCACUGCAGCGCGAACUGGUUUCCUUGAGUACGCACAAAGUGGGCGGAAUUCGUGGUGUAGCGGUGAAAUGCUUAGAUAUCACGAAGAACUCCGAUUGCGAAGGCAGCUCACUGGAGCGCAACUGACGCUGAAGCUCGAAAGUGCGGGUAUCGAACAGGAUUAGAUACCCUGGUAGUCCGCACGGUAAACGAUGGAUGCCCGCUGUUGGUCUGAAUAGGUCAGCGGCCAAGCGAAAGCAUUAAGCAUCCCACCUGGGGAGUA